Molecule: ribosomal RNA, 1498 nt
Filed under: uncultured bacterium
Lineage: Bacteria
Description: bacterial SSU rRNA
Rfam family: Bacterial small subunit ribosomal RNA
Source: RNAcentral
GUCGUACUGAGCUUAGAGUUUGAUCCUGGCUCAGAACGAACGCUGGCGGCAGGCUUAACACAUGCAAGUCGAGCGAUCCCUUCGGGGAUAGCGGCGGACGGGUGAGUAACGCGUGGGAACGUACCCUCUUCUGCGGGAUAGCCACUGGAAACGGUGAGUAAUACCGCAUACGCCCUUUUGGGGAAAGAUUUAUCGGAGGAGGAUCGGCCCGCGUUGGAUUAGGUAGUUGGUGGGGUAAUGGCCUACCAAGCCGACGAUCCAUAGCUGGUUUUAGAGGAUGAUCAGCCACACCGGGACUGAGACACGGCCCGGACUCCUACGGGAGGCAGCAGUGGGGAAUAUUGGACAAUGGGCGCAAGCCUGGUCCAGCCAUGCCGCGUGUGUGAAGAAGGCUUUCGGGUUGUAAAGCACUUUCAGCGGGGAAGAAGGCCUGGCGGUCAAUACCCGCCAUGAACGACAUCACCCGCAGAAGAAGCACCGGCUAACUCCGUGCCAGCAGCCGCGGUAAUACGGAGGGUGCAAGCGUUAAUCGGAAUUACUGGGCGUAAAGCGCGCGUAGGCGGCGUGUCACGCCGGGUGUGAAAGCCCCGGGCUCAACCUGGGAACGGCAUCCGGAACGGGCAGGCUAGAGUGCAGGAGAGGAAGGUAGAAUUCCCGGUGUAGCGGUGAAAUGCGUAGAGAUCGGGAGGAAUACCAGUGGCGAAGGCGGCCUUCUGGACUGACACUGACACUGAGGUGCGAAAGCGUGGGUAGCAAACAGGAUUAGAUACCCUGGUAGUCCACGCCGUAAACGAUGUCGACUAGCCGUUGGGUCCCUUGAGGACUUAGUGGCGCAGUUAACGCGAUAAGUCGACCGCCCGGGGAGUACGGCCGCAAGGUUAAAACUCAAAUGAAUUGACGGGGGCCCGCACAAGCGGUGGAGCAUGUGGUUUAAUUCGAUGCAACGCGAAGAACCUUACCUACCCUUGACAUCCUGCGAAGCCGGAGGAGAUUCUGGUGUGCCUUCGGGAGCGCAGAGACAGGCGCUGCAUGGCUGUCGUCAGCUCGUGUUGCGAAAUGUUGGGUUAAGUCCCGUAACGAGCGCAACCCUUAUCCUUAUUUGCCAGCGGGUCAUGCCGGGAACUCUAGGGAGACUGCCGGUGACAAACCGGAGGAAGGUGGGGACGACGUCAAGUCAUCAUGGCCCUUACGGGUAGGGCUACACACGUGCUACAAUGGCCGGUACAAAGGGUUGCAAAGCCGCGAGGUGGAGCUAAUCCCGAAAAGCCGGUCUCAGUUCGGAUCGGAGUCUGCAACUCGACUCCGUGAAGUCGGAAUCGCUAGUAAUCGUGAAUCAGAAUGUCACGGUGAAUACGUUCCCGGGCCUUGUACACACCGCCCGUCACACCAUGGGAGUGGACUGCACCAGAAGUGGUUAGCUUAACCCUCGGGAGAGCGAUCACCACGGUGUGGUUCAUGACUGGGGUGAAGUCGUAACAAGGUAACCAAGCCGUAGAGC